UACGGAGGGGGCUAGCGUUGUUCGGAAUUACUGGGCGUAAAGCGCACGUAGGCGGCUUUGUAAGUUAGAGGUGAAAGCCCAGGGCUUAACCCUGGAAUUGCCUUUAAGACUGCAUCGCUAGAAUUGUGGAGAGGUAAGUGGAAUUCCGAGUGUAGAGGUGAAAUUCGUAGAUAUUCGGAAGAACAUCAGUGGCGAAAGCGGCACCCUGGCAUUAGCCUGACGCUCAUGUGCGAAAGCGUGGGGAGCGAACGGG
This 253-nucleotide ribosomal RNA is filed under the name uncultured bacterium. RNAcentral's name for it is "partial 16S ribosomal RNA". It matches the Rfam family "Bacterial small subunit ribosomal RNA", at positions 524 to 776 of the family's 1533-position model. The record is from RNAcentral.